AUUGAACGCUGGCGGCAUGCUUUACACAUGCAAGUCGAACGAUAACAGGCCUUCUUGUGCUGCCGAGUGUCGAACGGGUGAGUAAUGCAACCGAACGUACCCAGAGCUGGUGGAUAACGCAGCGAAAGCUGUACUAAUACCGCAUGUGAUCUGAGGAUUAAAGCGGGGGACCGAGCAGCAAAAUUUUGCCUCUCCCCUUUGUAGCGGCCGGUGUCGGAUUAGCUAGUUGGUUGGGUAAAGGCCUACCAAGGCGACGAUCCGUAGCUGGUCUGAGAGGACGACCAGCCACACUGGAACUGAGACACGGUCCAGACUCCUACGGGAGGCAGCAGUAGGGAAUUUUCCGCAAUGGGCGAAAGCCUGACCCAGCAAUGCCGCGUGAGGGAAGAAGGCCUUCGGGUUGUAAACCGCUUUUAGCAGGGACGAAAAGGCGUCCGCUAAUACCGGGCGCUAAUGACGGUACCUGAACAAUAAGCACCGGCUAACUACGUG
This 492-nucleotide ribosomal RNA is filed under the name uncultured bacterium. Its description in RNAcentral is "partial 16S ribosomal RNA". It matches the Rfam family "Bacterial small subunit ribosomal RNA", at positions 30 to 507 of the family's 1533-position model. The record is from RNAcentral.